GCAGCCGCCACGGUAAUACGAAGGGGGCUAGCGUUGCUCGGAAUGACUGGGCGUAAAGGGCGCGUAGGCGGCGGCCAAAGUCAGGCGUGAAAUUCCCGGGCUCAACCUGGGGGCUGCGUUUGAUACUUGGUUGCUUGAGUGGGGAAGAGGGUCGUGGAAUUCCCAGUGUAGAGGUGAAAUUCGUAGAUAUUGGGAAGAACACCAGUGGCGAAGGCGGCUCACUGGACGCGUAUUGACGCUGAGGUGCGAAAGCGUGGGGAGCAAACAGGAUUAGAUACCCCGGUAGUCCCUGUCUCUUAUAC
Molecule: ribosomal RNA, 302 nt
Filed under: uncultured bacterium
Lineage: Bacteria
Description: partial 16S ribosomal RNA
Rfam family: Bacterial small subunit ribosomal RNA
Source: RNAcentral